ACUCAUCAGCCUUCUCCAAGGGCUCAUGCCUGUUGAGUGCCCCAGCAUCGCCUGAAAAUAGUCCAGCAAGCACACAUCCCUCCCCAGUGAAACUCUGCUAAUUUUGGGGGCCUGCAAGGUGAGUUGAUGGA
Nycticebus coucang (slow loris) is the source of this 131-nucleotide small nucleolar RNA. RefSeq annotates it as small nucleolar RNA SNORA49. The transcript has a single exon. Lineage: Eukaryota; Metazoa; Chordata; Mammalia; Primates; Lorisidae. The record is from RefSeq and is a predicted model, not a curated record.